RNAcentral lists this ribosomal RNA (139 nucleotides) under uncultured Trebouxiophyceae. Its description in RNAcentral is "partial small subunit ribosomal RNA". It matches the Rfam family "Eukaryotic small subunit ribosomal RNA", at positions 1670 to 1804 of the family's 1831-position model. Lineage: Eukaryota; Viridiplantae; Chlorophyta; Trebouxiophyceae. The record is from RNAcentral.
CGCCCGUCGCUCCUACCGAUUGGGUGUGCUGGUGAAGUGUUCGGAUUGGCGGCCCGGGGCGGUUCUCUCCGCUCCGAGACGCCGAGAAGUUCAUUAAACCCUCCCACCUAGAGGAAGGAGAAGUCGUAACAAGGUUUCC